AAGAAAGAGCACAAACGGAUGAAUUUCUAACAUGCAGAAGUUGCGAGCUCCCUUUUUUUCUGAUCUUUCUUGUUUUUCUGUUUUUGUUCUUC
RNAcentral lists this non-coding RNA (92 nucleotides) under Protocruzia adhaerens. The record is from RNAcentral. Lineage: Eukaryota; Ciliophora; Spirotrichea.